Zea mays is the source of this 464-nucleotide RNA transcript. It is a transcript of the gene named ADP-ribosylation factor GTPase-activating protein pseudogene, with no coding region annotated. The record is from RefSeq and is marked validated. The transcript has 3 exons. NCBI's taxonomy places the organism in Eukaryota, Viridiplantae, Streptophyta, Magnoliopsida, Poales, Poaceae.
AUGGGAAACGAAAAAGCAAAUAGCCAUUGGGAAGCAGAGCUGCCUCCUAAAUAUGAUAGGGUUGGGAUAGAGAAUUUCAUCCGUGCAAAAUAUGAGGACAAGAGAUGGGUACCAAGGAAUGGAACAUUGCGACUUUCCUCCGGUGUUCGAGAUGAGAAGAGCCAAGAGUCUCCAGCUAGUGCUAAUUGGAGUGGACAUCAUAGAUCUUCAUUUGAGCAAAACCAUGCUUCACCAGCUCUUCCGAGCAAAGUUGCACCUGUAGCUUCAAGGAUACCCUCUCAGGCAUCACCUCAGCCCCCAAAGGUAGAACCACCAGUUCCUAAGGUGGUUUCACCUCCUCAGCCACAAAAAUCUCCUGCCAAAGUUGAGGCAACACCCCCUAAAGUUGAGAAGCCAUCAGUUGCGCCGCCUCCUAAAGUUGAUUAUGCUACUGAUCUCUUUAACAUGUUAUCAAUGGAUGGAAC